RNAcentral lists this ribosomal RNA (427 nucleotides) under uncultured bacterium. Its description in RNAcentral is "bacterial SSU rRNA". It matches the Rfam family "Bacterial small subunit ribosomal RNA", at positions 355 to 774 of the family's 1533-position model. The record is from RNAcentral.
UGGGGAAUUUUGGACAAUGGGCGCAAGCCUGAUCCAGCAAUGCCGCGUGCAGGAUGAAGGCCUUCGGGUUGUAAACUGCUUUUGUACGGAGCGAAAAGGUCUGCCCUAAUACGGUGGGCUCAUUACGGUACCGUAAGAAUAAGCACCGGCUAACUACGUGCCAGCAGCCGCGGUAAUACGUAGGGUGCGAGCGUUAAUCGGAAUUACUGGGCGUAAAGCGUGCGCAGGCGGUUAUAUAAGACAGAGGUGAAAUCCCCGGGCUCAACCUGGGAACUGCCUUUGUGACUGCAUAGCUAGAGUACGGUAGAGGGGGAUGGAAUUCCGCGUGUAGCAGUGAAAUGCGUAGAUAUGCGGAGGAACACCGAUGGCGAAGACAAUCCCCUGGACCUGUACUGACGCUCAUGCACGAAAGCGUGGGGAGCAAACA